RNAcentral lists this long non-coding RNA (1786 nucleotides) under Aedes aegypti (yellow fever mosquito). RNAcentral describes it as "lncRNA AAEL021921". The record is from RNAcentral. Lineage: Eukaryota; Metazoa; Arthropoda; Insecta; Diptera; Culicidae.
GGGGGCGCGGUAAAACUCCUUACAUGGGCUCAUGACGAUUCUGGAGGAGGAAAUGCCUCUUUUCCCUAGGCCAGACAACAAGAUAAAUCCAACAAACUAUCCCAAAUAUAAUUAUGUUAUUUAUGUUUAAUCCUACUAGUUUAGCCAAAUAACUAUUAAGGAUUAAAUUGAGUGUUUGCCGCAGUGGCGACCAGUCACGAGAAGCAGGAUCAAACCGGUUAGAGACAAUUUGUCAGAAUUUAGCUGGCGCACUAUCAGGUUUGCCAGGACUCGCUGGUACGCAUAUUUGGAUUUGUGAUUAAGUUUGUGUAAGCAUUCAGUAGAAUAAGUUCUCAAUUUCUAGAGCUCGGAUCUAGAGUUAAAAAUGAAACAUAUGGAUAGUAUCCGUCUCUGACGGACUUUGAAGAAAGUUGAAGAAUUUUUCAUGAGUCGUUAUUCACCGUCUCAUGAAAAAUUCUGCCGUUGUGGCAAUGUUGUGUUACGUUUAGAUUUAUUGUGCCGUAAAAUAAAAGCUUCAGCUCAGAUUUAACACGUUAAAACGCAAACUUAAAAAAAAAAAAGAAACAGAAGAGAAAGGUUGCUCCGCGCAUCGCGUAGCGAAAACCCCUGCCAAACCUCCCUUCGCACGAGAAACUAAAGCUGCUGCACACGACAACCAUGCUAUUCAGACCAAUAUCGUCGUCUCUUCUUCGAACGACGACUACGCAGACAAGCUUCGGGAGCAGCGAGCCAAGCCGUUGAGAGAAGCAAGGCUUGUCGUCCACAAUCGGCAGCACUCACGCCGUUUUCCGUAACCGCAGAGCCGUCGGAGUGGAGAGACAAGUCGUGGUACUGAGAAAGAUCAGUUCGGGCUAGUGCGUGAAAUCGGUCGGUCGCACGCAGCACGUUAUUCCGUGGUCGCCGAAUCGAGAGGAUUCCCUGAACAUUGGUGAUUAGAAUUUGGAAGAAUCCGCCGGUGUGGACGUUUAAUUAGUACACGUAUCCAAAAAUAAGAAAACCUCCUCUCUAUCGGGGAGCACCUUGCUGCGAGAUACAUCGCGCGGUUGGCCGGAUUGGAUUCCAUUGCGAGGCAAUCACGUGGAUAACAGGUGAGCUCAAAUUUUCUGGCGGCUAUAGAAAUCGACUGAGCGGGCUAUCAUCAAAGCUAACUUCGGCCAUUUUGUUAACCAUAUAGUUGGAGAGCAAGCCCGAUUGACGCACGUUGGGAUAGCUGUCCACGUUCACCCAGAACAACCAGGGUGCAACAAUAGCGACUUGGUCGCUGACCACACUCUGUGCGGGAAGGAGAGAUACUUCACCAGGAGGAUAAGCGAAAUCACACGUCGUAGAUUAGGGAGCCACGAGGCAAGUCAGGACGAUACAGCGGAAGAACGAAAGCCCCUCAAAAGGGGCUUUUUUUUCCCCUUAUAUUGUCUCGUUUCUGCUUAGAGCAAAGGCGUCUAGAAGGACGAGUGAGAUUCGCACUGAGGACAUACGAGUGGCCGAUCGACCGCAAGGAAAGCGUGGCGCUGAAGGUUUGGUGCAUGGACAACUGGGUGACGGUCCCGAUGGCCGCAAGAAUGGGAGCGUUCGUGCGAAGCCGCAAUGUAGCGCAUGUUCAUGCCUAAGGACGUCGCUCAACCUAAAGGAAGCAGCGGGUAGUGACGCAGCGUGGCGGCAACCGUGAGUUAAGGCAAUAUCCAUGUUAGAUAUAAGAGCUUGGUAGCUUGCACUACCCUAGGAGAGAUAGGGCCUGAGCAUAGGCAGAUUUUGCCCCAAAGAGGGAAAUACAAGAUGUUAAACUGAG